AUCCGUCGUCAAGAGGGAAACAACCCAGACUACCAGCUAAGGUCCCUAAAUCUUACUUAAGUGGAAAACGAUGUGAAGUUACUUAAACAACCAGGAGGUUGGCUUAGAAGCAGCCAUCCUUUAAAGAAAGCGUAAUAGCUCACUGGUCUAGUGAUUUUGCGCGGAAAAUAUAACGGGGCUAAAGUAAGUACCGAAGCUGUAGACUUAGUUUACUAAGUGGUAGGAGAGCGUUCUAUUUGCGUCGAAGGUAUACCGGUAAGGAGUGCUGGAGCGAAUAGAAGUGAGCAUGCAGGCAUGAGUAGCGAUAAUUAAUGUGAGAAUCAUUAACGCCGUAAACCCAAGGUUUCCUACGCGAUGCUCGUCAUCGUAGGGUUAGUCGGGUCCUAAGUCGAGUCCGAAAGGGGUAGACGAUGGCAAAUUGGUUAAUAUUCCAAUACCAACAUUAGUGUGCGAUGGAAGGACGCUUAGGGCUAAGGGGGCUAGCGGAUGGAAGUGCUAGUCUAAGGUCGUAGGAGGUUGUACAGGCAAAUCCGUAUAACAAUACUCCGAGAACUGAAAGGCUUUUUGAAGUCUUCGGAUGGAUAGAAGAACCCCUGAUGCCGUCGAGCCAAGAAAAGUUUCUAAGUUUAGCUAAUGUUGCCCGUACCGUAAACCGACACAGGUGGGUGGGAUGAGUAUUCUAAGGCGCGUGGAAGAACUCUCUUUAAGGAACUCUGCAAAAUAGCACCGUAUCUUCGGUAUAAGGUGUGGUUAGCUUUGUAUUAGGAUUUACUCCGAAAGCAAGGAAACUUACAACAAAGAGUCCCUCCCGACUGUUUACCAAAAACACAGCACUCUGCUAACUCGUAAGAGGAUGUAUAGGGUGUGACGCCUGCCCGGUGCUCGAAGGUUAAUUGAUGGGGUUAGCAUUAGCGAAGCUCUUGAUCGAAGCCCGAGUAAACGGCGGCCGUAACUAUAACGGUCCUAAGGUAGCGAAAUUCCUUGUCGGUUAAAUACCGACCUGCAUGAAUGGCGUAACGAGAUGGGAGCUGUCUCAAAGAGGGAUCCAGUGAAAUUGUAGUGGAGGUGAAAAUUCCUCCUACCCGCGGCAAGACGGAAAGACCCCGUGGACCUUUACUACAGCUUGACACUGCUACUUGGAUAAGAAUGUGCAGGAUAGGUGGGAGGCUUUGAGUAUAUGACGCCAGUUGUAUAUGAGCCAUUGUUGAGAUACCACUCUUUCUUAUUUGGGUAGCUAACCAGCUUGAGUUAUCCUCAAGUGGGACAAUGUCUGGUGGGUAGUUUGACUGGGGCGGUCGCCUCCCAAAUAAUAACGGAGGCUUACAAAGGUUGGCUCAGAACGGUUGGAAAUCGUUCGUAGAGUAUAAAGGUAUAAGCCAGCUUAACUGCAAGACAUACAAGUCAAGCAGAGACGAAAGUCGGUCUUAGUGAUCCGGUGGUUCUGUGUGGAAGGGCCAUCGCUCAAAGGAUAAAAGGUACCCCGGGGAUAACAGGCUGAUCUCCCCCAAGAGCUCACAUCGACGGGGAGGUUUGGCACCUCGAUGUCGGCUCAUCGCAUCCUGGGGCUGGAGCAGGUCCCAAGGGUAUGGCUGUUCGCCAUUUAAAGCGGUACGCGAGCUGGGUUCAGAACGUCGUGAGACAGUUCGGUCCCUAUCUGCCGUGGGCGUAAGAAGAUUGAAGAGAUUUGACCCUAGUACGAGAGGACCGGGUUGAACAAACCACUGGUGUAGCUGUUGUUCUGCCAAGAGCAUCGCAGCGUAGCUAAGUUUGGAAAGGAUAAACGCUGAAAGCAUCUAAGCGUGAAGCCAACUCUAAGAUGAAUCUUCUCUAAGCUCUCUAGAAGACUACUAGUUUGAUAGGCUGGGUGUGUAAUGGAUGAAAGUCCUUUAGCUGACCAGUACUAAUAGAGCGUUUGGCUUAUCUUUAAUAAAGCAU
RNAcentral lists this ribosomal RNA (1935 nucleotides) under Campylobacter jejuni. RNAcentral describes it as "partial 23S ribosomal RNA". It matches the Rfam family "Bacterial large subunit ribosomal RNA", at positions 1003 to 2925 of the family's 2925-position model. The record is from RNAcentral. Lineage: Bacteria; Pseudomonadati; Campylobacterota; Epsilonproteobacteria; Campylobacterales; Campylobacteraceae.